This 345-nucleotide ribosomal RNA is filed under the name Danaus genutia genutia (common tiger). RNAcentral's name for it is "partial 12S ribosomal RNA". Lineage: Eukaryota; Metazoa; Arthropoda; Insecta; Lepidoptera; Nymphalidae. The record is from RNAcentral.
AAUAAACUAAAUAAAAUUACAUUUAAAUCCACCUUCAAUAAAAUUUUUCAAUUUUAUAUUCAUUUAAAUAAAUUUAUUGUAAUCCAUUAUAUUCUUAAUUAUAAUCUACAUCUUGAUCUGAAUUAAUUUUUUAUUAUAAUUUUCAAAUAUUAUAAUUUAAUAAAAAAUAUUUUUUUAACAACGAUAUAUAAAAUUUUAAAUUAAGUAAAUUUAUUCGUGGAUUAUCAAUUAUUAAACAGAUUCCUCUAAAUGAACUAAAAUACCGCCAUAUUAUUUAAGUUUCAAUAAAUAAUUAUUUACUAUUUUAGUAUUAUAAUUUAAAUUUUUAAUAAUAGGGUAUCUAAU